CUCCGUUGCUCGGAUCCAUGACUUUUUCUUCCAUCUUGUGAAGUUGUGUGCAUUCAUUUCUCUAUCAACAGCUCCUUGUUUUACCCUGUGUCAUAAAGUUAAGUUACGCUACGGACAGUCCUUGUUUGUGAGAUGAAUUAAGGAAUUUGCCCGGAGUUUUACGUCGACUCAGAAGGUAAAAACGCGAGUUGCUCUGAACUUAUUGAGGGAUGGACGAGACACGACAAAAUCUUUCUUGUACUGUUACACCUGAUGUAAGGUUCUCUGACAUUCUGCUUCCAGAACAUGCCAAGACGCAGGAGACUGUUUACCGGCCGAGCCACGCUGGUCCCUCCGCCCGCCCGAACGGGCCCGCAUUAGUCGGGUGCCGCCGGUCGGGCACGGUGGGGACUAGUGGCAGCGGUUCGGUGCCAGCUGCUCGGGGUCGGAGGUGGUUCUGGUCUGCACUUCAUGACGUGAAUUCAAACAACAUGCUGUUUACAGUCAUAACGUUUUUUCUUUACAUUUAUUUCUUCCAGGGGGUCAAAAACCCACCAUCGAUAUCAAGGUUUGAAAUAAACAACACUUUCUCUGCUACUUUUAAGCUGAAUAAAUCUCUUGAGCCUAUGGUUAACCUCUCUGACAAACAGGUUGUGCUCAACCCUUUGGUUCCUGAUGCUUCUUCUCUGUCAUCCAUGUUAAAGGCUGACCAUCUCUCCAGCAUGGGUGUGAAAUCUUCAGGCUGUGAUCCACCGCUUCAGUCAGGGGUCUGCUUUACUCGUCAGUCCGCCUCAUGCACAAACCGGCUUGUUUAUCGGGGCGUGAUGGAAACGACAGCCGCCGUGAAACACUUGUGGUCUCCGGACGGAGCAACCUUACCAUUUGCAGGGUUUGUGCCCGGACAUCUUGACCUUUCUGUGAAUGACCUUGUCACUUUUCAGUUUGUGACCUCUGCUAAUACGGUGGCCAAUUCUUUUCUCCUUUCACAGGGGUGUGACUUUGUCUCUGGCCUCUGUGCUCUAUUUCCUGUGAUUUCUCUUUCAGGUGACCACGACGGCGCAGGAAAACCUGCGGUUUCCAGCAGUCCAGUGGUCAGUGCCGAUGUUGAGGAAGCCUCAGUGGUUACUGUGCACACCUCUCUCACAGGCUCGGGAAGGCCACCCGGCCCGGGAGGUGCAGGUGGGUGCAGUGAUGCCCUGCUCGGGGCCCCGCCUGACAAAGGGGGGGUGCCGAGUGGCACUGAGUUUUCCGUUGCGGACUUCAACCUGUUCGGGGGAAACCCUCCUCCGAGCGGGCGGGUCAUUGCAGGAAUCGACACUGACCUUCCACCAAUUCAGCUGACAACAUUGACCUCCGACCCGGAGUUAGGUGCUGCACCUUCUACGGGGCGGAGUUCUAGUCAGUCUGUAACUACUCUGGUUAAACCGGGUUUUUCUGAUUCUGUGUGGGAACCUCCAUCAUUCUUGGGAAUAAAGUAUUCUUGGCUUCAGUUUUCAGGGCAGAACAUGUUGCUUUCGAUAGUGUCAUGUCUGUAUCUGAUUCUAAACAUGGCUAGGUUUGCUUUGACACCCGUGACACAACCAUCCUUGGAUCACUCCUUUUCAGAACCUCAAAGUCCAACACCUCCAGGUCUUUGGACAUCUGAACACCUACUCUUUCAGCACGAUCCAGGUGACAAUGUGCAUCUUCUUGGUAGUAGGGCUUUUAAGAGCUUAAGAACUGUUCUUUGUUAUGCUUCUCCUGUCUCACAGACACGGCAUAAGUUUGAGAAACAAAAGGGGGGUGGGGAGCCUCCUCCUGCUUUGCGAGCAUCAUUUUCGCAUUUCCAGUUCACUACUAUUUCUGGUCACAACAAAGUCGCCUCCGUAAAGCUGCAACCCAACUUUGAGCAGGUAAAAUCAGGUUCUGAUCUAACAAUUAUACCAUCAGCUUCGCUCGAGUUCCGGACGGAACCCUCAGGUAAAUUCAAACAAGUUUCCCUGUGGGUUCGUAACACAAGAUACAAACAGUUUGAUAACCAAAUCGCUUAUGAGCCUGCUCCCACAGAUACGUCCAAACUCGUGUCUCUGUGGGUCCGCAAUACCAGAUUCAAAACUCUAUUCUGACCAACUCUAUUCUGACCGGAUUCUUUUCCACUAACUGGUGGACCGUUACAAAUUCUCUCGUUUGUGGGAUGAAUUUUUAACAAAUGUGAUAUCCUUUGAAUUUUUUUUCAGGUUGCCUGCCUCCAGCCAGGACACCUGCUACUAACUCACAUUUUUAGGGAUUACUAACCUACUGAUUUACAUUUUUAGAAUUGAUUUACAUCUCUAUCUUUUUAUUAGUGCUUUGUGUAGCAUGAUUAUGUUUGAUUACAAAUUUAAUUUUAUUUUGUUACUAUUUCCCUUAAAGGCACAGUCCGCAGGAUGACGCCGUCAGGGUGAGGAGGAGGAGAUUUUUAAAUUCGAACGGCUGUUGCUCACUCCCCCGCCCUUCCUGAAAGAGCCGAAAGCCACACCUCCCAAUGUGCACGCGCAGGAAAAGCAGAGUCAACAUCGGAGCAUUGCUUCUUGUAAUAGAGCUGAGCUAGUGUUAGCAAUGGAGUUAUCUGAGAGUUCAGUGAUUGAGGAAUCCUCUGUGGAAGAGUUUGAACCUCCUAUUGCAUCCUCAAGACGUGGUGCAAAAAGGAGAUGCCCACCAUCAUCUCAAAGCCAUGGUGCAUCCAGAGGCCGUGGUGUGUCUAGAGGCUGCGGUGCAUCCAGAGGCCGAAGAAGUGUGAGACACUCAGCUGAGGACCUUGGAGAUGAAGAUCUCUCUCGAGUUCGGAAUCUUUGUUCCGAGCUAAUAGACUUUGAACGUGUAAGCAUAACUGUUGCUGUAGCAUCUCUUUCCACUUUUGUAGCAACACAUACAGAACCUGAACCCUCAGCAGGCUAUUUACAUCCUUACCAUGGUGCUGGACAGACAUUGGUGUUCUCUUUGAUGUACUUGCCCUCUCUGGUCCACCUGCCACAACACCUCCAACACCCAAUCAACCUUCAUGGUGUGUAUGCUCCCACUGCAGAGAUAUGCCAACUGAUUUGGAAAAGAAAUGCUGCCAACAGCCUCCCCAGACAUGUAUUUCAACUGUACCACACAUGGAGGAGUUUAUUCUGCAAAAUUCCCUGACCCCAAUGGUAACUACACUGGUUUUAUUCCAAGACGAUUGUAAAUAAAUGUAUAUAUUUGAUAUUUUACAUAAGUUUGUUUUUAUAUAUUUUUGUUUGAUGCUCUAAUAAAGUGUUCUAAAGCACAA
Nothobranchius furzeri (turquoise killifish) is the source of this 3253-nucleotide non-coding RNA. NCBI's taxonomy places the organism in Eukaryota, Metazoa, Chordata, Actinopteri, Cyprinodontiformes, Nothobranchiidae. The record is from RefSeq and is a predicted model, not a curated record.